AAAAAAAUCCACCCGUUGUAAGUUUUAACAGUUACUAAUUAAUUCUCCUGCAAUCUGCAGCUAUUUUUGCCCGUAACGCACAAUAGCAGCAGUGGCAACACAUUUAUUUCAGGUCAGCGGGUUUUGCCUAUAACUCAUAGCCAUGGCAACAACAACAUAUUUGUUUCAAAUCAUAACAUCACAUCUAAAAUCAUAAUACAACAUCCAAAAAAAUAGAUUUAUCUAACAUUUCUAUAAAAAUAUACUUUCACUACUGCAUACAAAUAUACAAUUAACUCUGCAUUAAAAGUUAGAUUAGUAGCUAAAUUUGGGUGGAUUUUUUGUUGAAACCAAUAAAUCUAAGACAAACUAAUUUCAACUAAUAUGAUUGUUUUUUCGUUGAUAGCUACACAAGUGUUUUUUAAAAAUAUAUGCAUACAUACUGUGGAGAGGACGAUGUGAAUCAAGUUAGCGACAACAGUUAUUUUUUUUAUAAUUAAGAAGAUUGGGUUAGGUCUUGAGCAAUAAAUGAUUGUCAAUAACUUAUUUUAUGUAUUUUUAUAAUUAAAUAUUUUUAGUGUAAUUUUAAUAAUUUAAAUUUAUAAAAAAAUAAAGUUAUGGGUUACUAGAUACCCACACAAUUUUUUUGUUAAUACAAAACCCACCGAUAACCCAGAGCGGAUUUAAAUUUAUUAUAGUAAACCCCCAUGCAACCCACAAAAUUACCUAUAGCAGGCAGCUUUUGAUGGACAAGUUUGGAUAAAUUUACAGGUAACAUUGUCAUCCCUACAACUAAAAUCCAAAUGCUAUUGACCUUGCCAACUUCAUGAUAAAGCCUCGAAAUAACACAUUUAUUCAAGAUGACAUCAAUUGUUGUAUGAAUUUCCUUGGUCAUCAUGAUAUGUCAUUUGGAAGAACUUAACUAAUAGAAAUUUGACCAAUCUAUUUAUUAUGUCUCACAUACAAAACUAUUUGUGUUAUACAAGUGUUAUAGUUGCAAGUAUGCUAAGAUAGAACCUUAGCAUUAUUUAUAAAUUUAUAAGUAUAUUUAACUCAAUGUCCAUUAUUAAAUAUCUUGAACAUAUGAAAGGGGAUGUCUUUACUAUAUAUUUUUUUUGUAUUUUCAUUGUGAUGACUAAACAAAAUAGGACGGAUUGUCAAAGUUCACAAGUACUUCUUGGCGGAAUGAGGGAAGUAUGCUAGGUUGUGCAUUGAAAUGCAUUUAAAGCUACUCAUUUCCCAUUAAGUACAUCUUUGGGUUUGACUUAAGAUUUUCUUUAUUGGAUUUGGUUUAUCGCAUUUUUUUUAAUUUAGUUAGUUCAUUAAUUUCAUUAAUUAUUUUAUUUUAAUUAAAUUGAAAUUGCAUUGUUAAGAUUGUUGAAACAAAUCUUAUAACAUCAAUCACUGUGGAGACGAUUUGAAUAUUCAUCAUUAUAUUACUUGUUGUGUACACUUGCACACUGAUACCUUUAGCAAUAAGCAAACCAACACUACCAUUUCAACAACUAUUCACACAUAAGAAAAAUAGUCUAUUUUGUGUCUGUUCGUAUGAAAAAUGCACCAACAAAGUUGUAGGAAAGGCUGGAGAGGUCACAACCAUCUUACUUAAAACUUAGACUCCUUAGACAAUGAUAGCUUUGUUAGCAGAAAUUUCCUGGACAUGCACUUAUCUACAUAACAAUACUACAUGCUUUUGAUAUACCCAAGUAGUAACUGUUGGCUCCAUCGUAUUUGUGAACAGUACCAUAUAUGUGAAUAAUAUUAUAUACACGAAUAUUAUCAUAUACGUGAACAAAACUGUAUACCUCAAGUACGAAUCGUCUGUUCCACUAUAUUCAUGAACAGUGCGUAUCGCAAGUAUGAAGUAUCGGCUCUGAUACCAAUUGUCUUGCUUUGAUACCACUUAUUGUGCUCUGGUACCGGUUGUUGCUCCCUAAUACCACUUGUGCUACAAAAGCGUCAUUUGUUGUGGUUUGAUACUACUUUUGCGCAAAUGCAGAAUUAAUACGCACCAAAUAUUUACAAAAAAAAUAAGCGAAACAAGAAUUUUACGUGAUUCGACAAUAAAAUACAUCCACGGAAACAAAAGAGAAUAAUUAUUUUACUAACAAUUAAUAGAUUACAAAUUAGAGUAAUUACCCAAAUAUAUCUAUUACUCUCACAUAUUUUGAAAGAAACAUUUUUCCUAAGACAAACAUUCUCUCACACCUCUACAAAUAACCCAACUGAGCAACCAAACAAACGCUCUCCCAAACUUUCUAAGAACUCACUUGCAGAUAAUCUCUUUCUCUGAAAUCUCUCAUUGAUAACUCUCUGAAUAUUCUCUCAGAGAGCUCUUCACCUAAGCUCUCUACUUUUUAGGAUACACUGAAUGAAAGAAGUGGCUUCAAUUUAUGGGGAAAACAAUUACAACCAAAUCCUUUAAUUGUUUUCAACCAUGUUGGCCACCGUUUCAUGAAAUAAGAAAAUCUCCAAAUAGCAUCCGUUUGGCCACCAAAGCUUUAAAUUUGGACACCAAAACAUUAAAUUUGUCGGAAAUUGCAUGUGGCUCCUUUCUUGACUCUUCAACGUCAAGAAAUUUUUUUAUUCUAAUUCAUAAAAACUCUUUUUAAUUUAUAGCUUAGAAUUGCGUAAAAGGAUAAAAAUAAAUUUAAUUAAAAUCAAACAUAAUUUCUUUUCGUCACUAACUCUUCACACACCAUCAAUUACU
Molecule: long non-coding RNA, 2689 nt
Filed under: Citrus x clementina
Lineage: Eukaryota; Viridiplantae; Streptophyta; Magnoliopsida; Sapindales; Rutaceae
Description: Citrus clementina (C. clementina) long non-coding RNA (CCLE_LNC005333)
Source: RNAcentral